This 253-nucleotide ribosomal RNA is filed under the name uncultured bacterium. Its description in RNAcentral is "partial 16S ribosomal RNA". It matches the Rfam family "Bacterial small subunit ribosomal RNA", at positions 524 to 776 of the family's 1533-position model. The record is from RNAcentral.
UACGUAGGGUGCGAGCGUUAAUCGGAAUUACUGGGCGUAAAGCGUGCGCAGGCGGUUUGCUAAGACCGAUGUGAAAUCCCCGGGCUUAACCUGGGAACUGCAUUGGUGACUGGCAGGCUAGAGUAUGGCAGAGGGGGGUAGAAUUCCACGUGUAGCAGUGAAAUGCGUAGAGAUGUGGAGGAAGACCGGUGGCGAAGGCGGCCUGCUGGGCAGUUACUGACACUGAUGCGCGACAGCGUGGGGAGCAAACAGG